This 484-nucleotide ribosomal RNA is filed under the name uncultured bacterium. Its description in RNAcentral is "partial 16S ribosomal RNA". It matches the Rfam family "Bacterial small subunit ribosomal RNA", at positions 30 to 507 of the family's 1533-position model. The record is from RNAcentral.
AUUGAACGCUGGCGGCAGGCCUAACACAUGCAAGUCGAGCGGAUGAAGGGAGCUUGCUCCUGGAUUCAGCGUCGGACGGGUGAGUAAUGCCUAGGAAUCUGCCUGGUAGUGGGGGAUAACGUCCGGAAACGGGCGCUAAUACCGCAUACGUCCUGCGGGAGAAAGUGGGGGAUCUUCGGACCUCACGCUAUCAGAUUAGCCUAGGUCGGAUUAGCUAGUUGGUGGGGUAAAGGCCUACCAAGGCGACGAUCCGUAACUGGUCUGAGAGGAUGAUCAGUCACACUGGAACUGAGACACGGUCCAGACUCCUACGGGAGGCAGCAGUGGGGAAUAUUGGACAAUGGGCGAAAGCCUGCUCCAGCCAUGCCGCGUGUGUGAAGAAGGUCUUCGGAUUGUAAAGCACUUUAAGUUGGGAGGAAGGGCAGUAAGUUAAUACCUUGCUGUUUUGACGUUACCAACAGAAUAAGCACCGGCUAACUUCGUG